CCCUUAGAUGUUCUGGGCCGCACGCGCGCUACACUGUUCGACGCAGCGAGUCUUAACCUUGACCGAAAGGUUUGGGUAAUCUUCAGCAAAGUCGAACGUGAUGGGGAUCGAUCAUUGCAAUUAUUGAUCGUGAACGAGAAAUUCCUAGUAAGUGCAAGUCAUCAGCUUGCGCUGAUUACGUCCCUGCCCUUUGUACACACCGCCCGUCGCUACUACCGAUUGAAUGGUUUAGUGAGAUCUCUGGAUUGACGCUGGCUAGGGGGCGACCCUUGGCCAGACUGUUGAGAAACUGCUCAAACUUGAUCAUUUAGAGGAAGUAAAAGUCGUAACA
Molecule: ribosomal RNA, 331 nt
Filed under: uncultured eukaryote
Lineage: Eukaryota
Description: partial 18S ribosomal RNA
Rfam family: Eukaryotic small subunit ribosomal RNA
Source: RNAcentral